AGAAAAGUAAUUAAAAGGGAAUAGUCCACCAUGAGAGACAAACGGAAUGUGGUUAGUCACAUUCUUUGUUGUGGUUAGAGUUAAGUAGGUGCAGGUGAAGUAUAUGUAUAUGUAGUUCACUGGCUUGAGAUAGAAUGCCAUAUUUACAUUAAUGGUGUCACUUGUGUGGAGGCACCAUGAUAGACAACUGGUAGUUUAGCAAUAGUCUCGCGGUGCCAGAGUUUAGCAUGGCCCGCCAGACCAUAGAUAGGGGAUGGGACUGAAGGAAUUGGAAACUCUCCGUUUGUAGUAAAACUGAUUUUGCUUUAGCACAUUAGCACCUAAGGUGUGAGCUGUAGGUGGAGCAAAAUUGUUGUGGAGAUAACUCUACCCACCAAGAAGUUGUGACUUUACUGGUCUUGCUAGCCAAACUCUAAUUUACCAAGUAAGAGUCUGGUGCCAUGCCUAAUAUCAACUUAUUUUUGUGUGGACAUCAAAUACAUUUAAGCCACACAUUUGCUGGUGAUGGUUAGAGUUGUGAGAGUAAAAUUGUGGCUGCUGCUCUAGCUAAGCAAGUUGAUGCUGUUAUUUUCAAACUUGGCUUCCAGCUUCAUGACAAAUAGAAGGAGGCCUUCCUUAGCUAUAUAACUGACAAAGAUACUUUUGUAGCUUUGCUAACUGGCUAUUGCAAGAGUCUUAUUCAUUGCUGCUUGCCUCUAGUGUAUGACUCUAUCAGAGUCUUGCCCCAAGGUAAAAGCAUAGCUUUGGUUGGUCUGCCUAAACACUGAUAAUGGAUCAGACUGAGAGAUUCAGACAACGGGGUGCUGUUGCUGCGUUUGCUAGGGAGCCUCAGAUCUCAUUGGAAAGGUGUGCAAAUGGUGAAUUUCAGUUGAUCUUCAUUAGCCCAGAGUGUCUAAAGAAAGGAAGAAUGUGGAGGAACGUGCUUAAGUCUGACCUUUACCAAGAGCAAUCAGUGGCCUUUAUUGUUGAUGAAGGACAUUUGAUAAAGAACUUGUAAAUAGAUUAUAAGUUAGUAGACAGUGUAAUUGUCAUUAUGCAUCAUGCACUGACUGCUAUGUUGUAUAGUGGAGAGGAAUACAGACCUGAAUUCUCAAAACUAGGAUACUCAUUGCAACCGUUGCUUUUGGCCUAGGUAUUGAUUGCUCUGAUAUUAGGUGCGUGAUACAUUUUGGUGUGCCAGAAGAUGUAGAGAUGUACGUGCAACAAGUAGGAAGAGCUGGAUAAGAUGAAAGCAGUCAUAAUGUGUAAUGCUAUAUCAAACAGGAGUGUAAAGAAGAUUCUGCAAUGAAAAAAUUAUAGCAUAUUGCAAGUUACAGAAAAAAUGUUGUAGGAAGUUAUUAUAUUCUAUGUUUUUCUGAUAUAUAUGCAUACCUAAUGAUAGUAUUAUAGGCUUUUGCUUGUGUUGUGAUGUUGGUUUUUGAGUUUGUACAUGUCUUAAAUGAAAAUCCAUAUAAUAAUUUAUUAGUA
Molecule: long non-coding RNA, 1467 nt
Organism: Amphimedon queenslandica
Lineage: Eukaryota; Metazoa; Porifera; Demospongiae; Haplosclerida; Niphatidae
Exons: 2
Source: RefSeq, a predicted model, not a curated record